GUCAGCCUCCUGCCCAGUCCUUGGUAAGGCAUUCAGUGUCCACAAGGUAUUCAUGCAGCCUUUUAGUCCAAUCAAAAUAUCAGACAUCUUUCCUUCUUUGGAGAGUCAUGGACUCCAGUCAUAUAGGUCCUCAUUUAAAAAUAGCAUUUUUGCAAGUUUCUUAGCAAACAUCUACAGGUACUAUUUGUGCUCAACUGCCCAGAAAUUUACCCAUGGGCCCACCUCCCCAUCCUCCCAGAGUUAUCUCUUCCUCCGGACGUCAUUACUAGGUCCCCAUUAAAUGACUUAGGUAAAUGGCUUCUGCUCUUCAUUUUCCUGAAAAGAGUACAUCUAUGGAAUGCCCACCUUUUUAUAAAAGGAUGUGUGCACAAGCCCACAUAGGUUCCAAAGUGGUGUCUGCAGACACCUGCGACAGCACCCCAUUUAGCUAUCCUGAUCCAUGCCUACCCUUUCAGAGUGUGGAGAAUAAUGUUCUGCUUUCACAAGCCCACUAGAUGAUUCUGACAUGUGCCGAAGUAUGAGACCCAAUGACAUGGGUGGUCUUAGACGUCUGAGUUCAUCAACCACAGGUUCAAUGGUACAACACCCAUCCCUGCUCAUGAGUGGGUUGUGAAAUGAUCUUGGAAAGAUCACUGGAGACUCUGUCUCAGAGCAGCUCAGGCCAGGCCACAACUCAGAACAGAGUGAACAAAAUGAAGGAGGGAGAAAUGGUCCUGGACCUGGCACAAAUAUCUUCUGCCAGCUCUAUGCUCCUGAUGCCGUGUGCCCUCUUAUAUAUUACCACACUGAUGGUCCUGUCCCACACUCUGCCCAAGCCCACCUAGCAGCUAUGCCCUGGUUUGAAAAGUGCCCAGAUGUGAGCACACUGAUUUUGUACCAGGUUUCUGUGCAGGAGGAAAAUCCAGGUAUUCAGAAAUUUGUGCAAAGCUGGAAAAGAAGGAAAGGAAUGAGCUCUAUGCUUGUUCUGUACAGUUGGGCCACCUCUGAGCUUCCUCCCAGGGUAGUUGUCCUCAAUGGCAUGACUGUUCUGUGGAACCCCUAGGCUACUCCAAUUUGGACCAGUCAGCUACCCCAAGAUGGAAGGCAAUCCACGAGAAACAGGCAGGAGGAAGACCCUGUCCAAAUGAGGUGUCCCAAAGUUGACUGUGAGGUGUCCCCCAGGAUGACACAGAAGCAGGACAAAGCAAAGCCUUGCUUGGAGCAGGAGGAAACAGAGAGCCCCUGGAUCUAGAACAUAUCUACUGCCUUCCAUCCGAGCACCUAGGGAACUAUCUGCUCACUCUAGUCCACACUACCUUGCUUUGUAUCCUACAAUUCUAGGGACUCUCCCUGGACCUCUGGAAGCUGAAGGCGGAUUCCAUCUAAGGCAUCUUUCAUAAUUCCACAAGUCCACAUCCUUCUUCUAUACCACACACUAGAUGAGAACAGCUAAAAUUGGGGGCUCCCAAGUGGAAACAGGUCUCCUCUCUAGCCCUGGAUAUCUCCCAUACAGGAAGGAGGAGGGGAAACCAGAGGCAGUAUGCUACUUCCAAGGCCUGAGGUAUCAGGUCUCCUGAGAAACACUGAACUGGUGUUUUCUGAGCUGGACAUGUAAGUCCUCAGGCACAAUGGAGACACCCAGACACAGCUGCUAACUGUAGUGGUACCAGGGACCAGCACCCUCUGAGCUCUAUGCCACCUUAGAAGUACCACACUGAGGGCACUCCAAGUGCAAGGAUCAGGCAGCAUAUCCCAGAAUCCCAAUCUCAGCUCAGGGACAUGAUGAUGUCCUUAUAGAAGAGGCUGUUCUGAAAGCAGUAGGGACUGCUGGAAUCUGUCUUACAUGUCAUUUCUCCCUGCCUGCUAACUCCAUCUGACAGGCAGUCACAUUCCCUAGAAGUGGCCCCAGGAGACCACGGGCAAGGUGCAAAGUGAAAUAAAGAAGACAAUGCAGCCGCAGCCCAGCUAGCUGCAGCACCAACUGUGGGAAGCUCGUGCCCUCAUGGGGCUGGGCCUGUCCAUCAUAAAACUCUUCAGUGAGGCCAAAGAGUCUCGGCUUCCCACCUGCACCGACAAUCUGCCUCCACAGCCUCCCGGGGCCGGGAGCAGCUCAGGACCUGCAGGCUGAGGCUAAACUGGCCUCCUUCCCCGCAGUUCCAUCCUUGCCACAGCCACUCUCCCACCUCCUGAGGGGAGUUAAAUGGAUAUAACAGACACCAGAGAUGGCAGUCAAAAUCUAUUGUGACUUUUUACACAAUUUUGCCAACACCUACUCUAGAGAAGUAGGAUCAUAUUAAUACUCUAUGCUGGGAGUUAUACUUGAAAGGCCAGUUAAACGAAAUCAAACACCUUUGUGGGUAAGUAAAAGGCUUCCAUUAUUCUCAGUACUCUUCAUAACAGUAAACAUGAAGACUGGCAAGGUUGUCGGGUCCUUACUGUACUGGGGAGGGGCAUCCACCUGCUGCCUUUCUCUCAUCUCAGAAGUUACAACCAGUGCUACUGGAUUAGUAUAAGUGAGAGCUGAUACCAAGAUGGAAUCAUUCUCCUCAGUCCCCGAGCUGGAAGUUACGCCUGCCUGCCUGCCCAAGUUCUUUCUAACAGCCCCCAAAUUAUUUCAUCUCAAUUAUUUCUACCUGCUGCCAUGAUUUACAACCCUCCCCUGCUUUGCACACCUCCUAGGAAUGAAAAAUUUCUGCAACAAUGCUUACAUUUUUUUUCUAAAGAUGACCACAAUUCAGAAAAGACGUUUUGGACACACUUGCCCAGCAAUCACACCUCCAUUAACCAGCGGAUGGGAACUCCUGCUGCAGGGGCCAAGACCAGGGAACUGUGUAUUAAAAUAGCCUUUUCUCUCUGUGUGGUCAACUUUAUCUUCAAGAUUAUAUAUUUUUGUCUUCAUUGCCUGAGGUUCUGUCUUCCAAAUGGUCUAGUCUAUUGGUGAUGCUUCCCACUGAAUUCUUAGAUCUAUUGAGUGCUUCAUUUUUGAGGAUUUCUGCAUGAUUUCAGAACCUCUUUUUAUUGAAGUAAUCUUUUAUCUCCUGAAUUUUAUCUCUGAUUUCACUCCUUAUAUCAUCCUUUGCCUCAGGGAUCAGUGUAACUAUGGACACUCUAAACUCCUUCUCUGACAUUUCUUCCACGGUGGUGUCAUUGGAUUAUAUUGUUGGUGCAUCUUGGUUUGUUUGGGGUGAUUUGUUCCCUUGUUUUUUUUUUUCAUAUUUGUGUGUCUACCCAUCUACCAGUGUGGAUCUGAGGCAGUACAGUUUCUAACCUAUAGACUUGUAGUGUCUCUGAAGGUUUCCAGUAUUUUCCCUUGAAGGGGGAAACCAAUAACAGCAACCAAUGCACACCAUAUACAGCAUUAAGCCAGAUAGCCCCUGCUAUGAUAUCUACAGUUUUGUUGGAGUGAAUCAGUUAUUAUUACCCUCUAUGCAUAUAUGAUUACAAAACUGGCGUAAUUCUCUAUCAUGUACAACUAGAAAAAUGAGAAGUUACAUUCCAUUUAUGUAUGAUGUCAAAAUGCAUUCUACAGACAUUUAUAACUAAUAGAAUCUUAAAAAUUUAAAAAGGAAAAGAAAGAUGUGUGUUGGGGUAGGGGAAAUCUCAUAAAAUGGAAGGGAGAAAGGAAUCAGGGGAGGGAGGGGAGAAGGAAAAGGAGAAAUUAUAUUGGCCAAAUUAUAUUGUGUACAGAUAUGAAUAUUUAAUAACAAACCCCACCAUGAUAUACAAUGAUAAUGCACCAAUAAAAAAUUUGUGUGUUGGGGGGAGAGUAGACUAUUCUCUAAAGUAGCAGUUUCUCCCUUGGCCUUUCAAAUUGGUACUUGCCUCAACUUCAUUAAAGAAGCCCACGGUUUACUUCAGCAUUUGAUUUUUUUUUAUGGCAAUGCUUUCAUUACCAAGUAAACAGUUCACACAACUUCAAUCUCUG
RNAcentral lists this long non-coding RNA (3904 nucleotides) under Marmota monax (woodchuck). Lineage: Eukaryota; Metazoa; Chordata; Mammalia; Rodentia; Sciuridae. The record is from RNAcentral.